CCUACGGGGGGCAGCAGUGGGGAAUAUUGGGCAAUGGGCGCAAGCCUGACCCAGCAACGCCGCGUGAAGGAAGAAGGCCCUCGGGUUGUAAACUUCUUUUAUCAGGGACGAAGAAGUGACGGUACCUGAUGAAUAAGCCACGGCUAACUACGUGCCAGCAGCCGCGGUAAUACGUAGGUGGCAAGCGUUAUCCGGAUUUACUGGGUGUAAGGGGCGUGUAGGCGGGGAAGCAAGUCAGAUGUGAAAUUCCAGGGCUCAACCCUGGAACUGCAUUUGAAACUGUUUUUCUUGAGUGAUGGAGAGGCAGGCGGAAUGCCGGGUGUAGCGGUGAAAUGCGUAGAGAUACGGAAGAACACCAGUGGCGAAGGCGGCCUGCUAGACAUUAACUGACGCUGAGGCACGAAAGCGUGGGGAGCAAACAGGAUUAGAUACCCUGGUAGUC
RNAcentral lists this ribosomal RNA (442 nucleotides) under uncultured bacterium. RNAcentral's name for it is "partial 16S ribosomal RNA". It matches the Rfam family "Bacterial small subunit ribosomal RNA", at positions 338 to 795 of the family's 1533-position model. The record is from RNAcentral.